AUCAGGCAGCAGCAGAGCAAGGAACGGGUGACUCAGCAGAUACUGCCACUCAUCAAAGGACACACAGAGCUCCAAGGUCUUAAGAAUCUCAAUCAAUACAAAUGAUGAACUACGAUUCCAGAGGACUCAUGAUGUAAUGGGCAACUCACCUCCUGAUAGACAGCCUAGGCUUUAUUGAAAGUCUUUGAUGCUUUCCCAUGAGUCUUCCCAGUGCUCCUACGGAAGGCUCUUUCCACAGGACAUUC
Non-coding RNA from Phascolarctos cinereus (koala), 245 nucleotides. The record is from RefSeq and is a predicted model, not a curated record. Lineage: Eukaryota; Metazoa; Chordata; Mammalia; Diprotodontia; Phascolarctidae.